RNAcentral lists this ribosomal RNA (1161 nucleotides) under Bacteroides ovatus. RNAcentral describes it as "bacterial SSU rRNA". It matches the Rfam family "Bacterial small subunit ribosomal RNA", at positions 100 to 1267 of the family's 1533-position model. The record is from RNAcentral. Lineage: Bacteria; Pseudomonadati; Bacteroidota; Bacteroidia; Bacteroidales; Bacteroidaceae.
CACGGGUGAGUAACACGUAUCCAACCUGCCGAUAACUCCGGGAUAGCCUUUCGAAAGAAAGAUUAAUACCGGAUGGCAUACGAAUAUCGCAUGAUAUUUUUAUUAAAGAAUUUCGGUUAUCGAUGGGGAUGCGUUCCAUUAGUUUGUUGGCGGGGUAACGGCCCACCAAGACUACGAUGGAUAGGGGUUCUGAGAGGAAGGUCCCCCACAUUGGAACUGAGACACGGUCCAAACUCCUACGGGAGGCAGCAGUGAGGAAUAUUGGUCAAUGGGCGAGAGCCUGAACCAGCCAAGUAGCGUGAAGGAUGAAGGCUCUAUGGGUCGUAAACUUCUUUUAUAUGGGAAUAAAGUUUUCCACGUGUGGAAUUUUGUAUGUACCAUAUGAAUAAGGAUCGGCUAACUCCGUGCCAGCAGCCGCGGUAAUACGGAGGAUCCGAGCGUUAUCCGGAUUUAUUGGGUUUAAAGGGAGCGUAGGUGGAUUGUUAAGUCAGUUGUGAAAGUUUGCGGCUCAACCGUAAAAUUGCAGUUGAAACUGGCAGUCUUGAGUACAGUAGAGGUGGGCGGAAUUCGUGGUGUAGCGGUGAAAUGCUUAGAUAUCACGAAGAACUCCGAUUGCGAAGGCAGCUCACUAGACUGUUACUGACACUGAUGCUCGAAAGUGUGGGUAUCAAACAGGAUUAGAUACCCUGGUAGUCCACACAGUAAACGAUGAAUACUCGCUGUUUGCGAUAUACAGUAAGCGGCCAAGCGAAAGCAUUAAGUAUUCCACCUGGGGAGUACGCCGGCAACGGUGAAACUCAAAGGAAUUGACGGGGGCCCGCACAAGCGGAGGAACAUGUGGUUUAAUUCGAUGAUACGCGAGGAACCUUACCCGGGCUUAAAUUGCAACAGAAUAUAUUGGAAACAGUAUAGCCGUAAGGCUGUUGUGAAGGUGCUGCAUGGUUGUCGUCAGCUCGUGCCGUGAGGUGUCGGCUUAAGUGCCAUAACGAGCGCAACCCUUAUCUUUAGUUACUAACAGGUUAUGCUGAGGACUCUAGAGAGACUGCCGUCGUAAGAUGUGAGGAAGGUGGGGAUGACGUCAAAUCAGCACGGCCCUUACGUCCGGGGCUACACACGUGUUACAAUGGGGGGUACAGAAGGCGGCUACCUGGUGACAGGAUG